Chenopodium quinoa (quinoa) is the source of this 544-nucleotide long non-coding RNA. RefSeq lists it as uncharacterized. Lineage: Eukaryota; Viridiplantae; Streptophyta; Magnoliopsida; Caryophyllales; Amaranthaceae. The record is from RefSeq and is a predicted model, not a curated record. The transcript has 3 exons.
CUAAUACAAGCCUAACAAGAGUACAACUCUACAAGACUCACAAAGUCACAUUUCGGCCCAUAUUAAAAACUGAAAUCAACCCACAUAAAAAAAAUAACCCUAAUUUUCUCUCUCUAGUUUCCUUCUCCAAUCUCCAGUUCUCCACCAGCCUACUCUCCACGACUCCAUCAGGCGGCGAUCUCCGAUCAGUUCUGUUAGAUCGGCGGCGAUCUCCCUUCAUUGCUGAUCACUUUCAUGUUCAACUAUAACCGAAGAUGGGGAGGAUGAUAAUGAUAAUGAUAUAGAAGAGGUGGAUAUAAUUGAUAUGGAUGUUGAUGAUAUUAGUAGUGAUGAAGAUUAGUCCUUUCGGAAUAUGGAUAUUGGAUGCUCAAAUCGGAUACAUCAUUGUUAUUUUUUUUUUGUUUGGUCAUUUGUAACAUUGUACUUUUUUUUAUGUUUGGAUUUUUUUUUCAAAGACAAUAUGUAUAAUAUGUGUUACAUUGUAUUUUUAGUUGUAUAACUCUAAUUUAUGCAUUGAACUUGGUUGAAAUGCGUUUUUAUUAAA